This 211-nucleotide ribosomal RNA is filed under the name Escherichia coli. RNAcentral describes it as "partial 16S ribosomal RNA". It matches the Rfam family "Bacterial small subunit ribosomal RNA", at positions 1 to 217 of the family's 1533-position model. Lineage: Bacteria; Pseudomonadati; Pseudomonadota; Gammaproteobacteria; Enterobacterales; Enterobacteriaceae. RNAcentral also lists the same sequence under 1 other name. The record is from RNAcentral.
AAAUUGAAGAGUUUGAUCAUGGCUCAGAUUGAACGCUGGCGGCAGGCCUAACACAUGCAAGUCGAACGGUAACAGGAAACAGCUUGCUGUUUCGCUGACGAGUGGCGGACGGGUGAGUAAUGUCUGGGAAACUGCCCGAUGGAGGGGGAUAACUACUGGAAACGGUAGCUAAUACCGCAUAACGUCGCAAGACCAAAGAGGGGGACCUUCG